AGAGUUUGAUCCUGGCUCAGAACGAACGCUGGCGGCGUGGAUAAGACAUGCAAGUCGAACGGGACACCAUGAGUAGCAAUACAAGUGGUGUCUAGUGGCGAACGGGUGCGUAACACGUGGAUACAUUCCGGGAAGCGGGGGAUAGCCCAGGGAAACUUGGAUUAAUACCGCAUGUGGUCGAAAGACUAAAGGCAGGGACCGCAAGGCCUGCCACUUCCCGAUUGGUCCGCGGCCUAUCAGCUAGUUGGCGGGGUAAAAGCCCACCAAGGCUACGACGGGUAGCUGGUCUUAGAGGACGACCAGCCACACUGGAACUGAGACACGGUCCAGACACCUACGGGUGGCAGCAGUCGAGAAUCUUUCACAAUGGGGGCAACCCUGAUGGAGCGACGCCGCGUGGAGGAUAAGGUCUUCGGAUUGUAAACUCCUGUCAUGUGUGAACAAGGUUGUCGUGUUAAUAGCAUGGCAAAUUGAUGGUAACACAAGAGGAAGAGACGGCUAACUCUGUGCCAGCAGCCGCGGUAAUACAGAGGUCUCAAGCGUUGUUCGGAAUCACUGGGCGUAAAGGGUGCGUAGGUGGCGUGGAAAGUCAGAUGUGAAAGCCCGGGGCUCAACCUCGGAAUUGCAUCCGAUACUACCAUGCUAGAGUACUGAAGAGGUGACUAGAAUUCUCGGUGUAGCAGUGAAAUGCGUAGAUAUCGAGAGGAAUACCAACGGCGAAGGCAGGUCACUGGGGCAGUUACUGACACUGAGGCACGAAGGCCAGGGGAGCAAACGGGAUUAGAUACCCCCGGUAGUCC
This 800-nucleotide ribosomal RNA is filed under the name uncultured bacterium. Its description in RNAcentral is "bacterial SSU rRNA". It matches the Rfam family "Bacterial small subunit ribosomal RNA", at positions 8 to 796 of the family's 1533-position model. The record is from RNAcentral.